This 468-nucleotide ribosomal RNA is filed under the name uncultured bacterium. Its description in RNAcentral is "partial 16S ribosomal RNA". It matches the Rfam family "Bacterial small subunit ribosomal RNA", at positions 28 to 507 of the family's 1533-position model. The record is from RNAcentral.
GACGAACGCUGGCGGCGUGCUUAACACAUGCAAGUCGAACGGAAAGGCCCUGCUUUUGUGGGGUUCUCGAUUGGCGAACGGGUGUGUAACACGUGAGUAACCUGCCCUUGUCUUUGUGAUAUCUUCUGGAAACUCGGGCUAUUACCCGAUAUGAUCUCUUGCUGCAUGUUGGUGGUUGGUAAGUUUCGGCUGUUGGGGAUCGACUCGCUGCUUAUCAGCUUGUUUGUGUGGUAGUGGCUUACCAAGGCUUUGACGGGUAGCCGGCCUGAGAGGGUGACCGGGCACAAGGGGACUGAGAGAGGGCGCAGACGGCAACGGGAGGCAGGAGGGGGGAAUAUUGCAGAAUGGGGGGAAGCGAGAGGCAGAAACGCCGCGAGCGGGAAGACGGCCUACGGGUUGUAAACCGAUGUGGAAUGUGAAGAAGAGAGAGUGACGGUAAUGGGUAAAGAAGCACCGGCUAACUACGUG